This 503-nucleotide ribosomal RNA is filed under the name uncultured bacterium. RNAcentral describes it as "partial 16S ribosomal RNA". It matches the Rfam family "Bacterial small subunit ribosomal RNA", at positions 28 to 507 of the family's 1533-position model. The record is from RNAcentral.
GACGAACGCUGGCGGCGUGCUUAACACAUGCAAGUCGAACGGUGAAGCGCUUUCCUUUUUGGUUGGUGUGGAUGAGUGGCGAACGGGUGAGUAACACGUGAGUAACCUGCCCCCUUCUUCUGGAUAACCGCAUGAAAGUGUGGCUAAUACGGGAUAUUCUGCGCCUGCUGCAUGGUGGGUGAGGGAAAGAUUGUGCCUUUGGGUGUUUUCGGUGGGGGAUGGGCUCGCGGCCUAUCAGCUUGUUGGUGGGGUGAUGGCCUACCAAGGCGGUGACGGGUAGCCGGCCGGAGAGGGUGGACGGUCACACUGGGACUGAGACACGGCCCAGACUCCUACGGGAGGCAGCAGUGGGGAAUAUUGCACAAUGGGCGCAAGCCUGAUGCAGCGACGCCGCGUGAGGGAUGGAGGCCUUCGGGUUGUGAACCUCUUUCGCCAGUGAAGCAGGCCUGCUCCUUGUGGGUGGGUUGACGGUAGCUGGAUAAGAAGCGCCGGCUAACUACGUG